UAAGCGGAGGAAAAGAAACUAACAAGGAUUCCCCUAGUAACUGCGAGUGAAGCGGGAAAAGCUCAAAUUUAAAAUCUGGCGNUCUUUGGNCGUCCGAGUUGUAAUUUAGAGAAGCGUCUUCCGCGCUGGNCCGUGCACAAGUCUCCUGGAAUGGAGCGUCAUAGAGGGUGAGUAUCCCGUCUUUGGCACGGAUGCCUGGUGCUUCUGUGAUGCGCUCUCGAAGAGUCGAGUUGUUUGGGAAUGCAGCUCAAAAUGGGUGGUGAACUCCAUCUAAAGCUAAAUAUUGGCGAGAGACCGAUAGCGAACAAGUACCGUGAGGGAAAGAUGAAAAGCACUUUGGAAAGAGAGUGAAACAGUACGUGAAAUUGUUGAAAGGGAAACGCUUGAAGUCAGUCGCGUCGACCGAGACUCAGCCUUGCCUUGGCUUGGUGUACUUCUCGGCCCGACGGGUCAGCAUCAAUUUUGCCCCUCGGAUAAUGGCAAGGGAAAGGUGGCACCUUUACGGGUGUGUUAUAGUCUCCUGUCGAAUGCGAGGGGUGGGAUUGAGGAACUCAGCGCGCACCUCAGUGUCGGGGCUUCGGCCCACGUCACGCGCUUAGGAUGCUGGCGUAAUGGCUAUAAACGACC
This 627-nucleotide ribosomal RNA is filed under the name uncultured Russulaceae. RNAcentral describes it as "LSU rRNA". It matches the Rfam family "Eukaryotic large subunit ribosomal RNA", at positions 47 to 649 of the family's 3401-position model. The record is from RNAcentral. Lineage: Eukaryota; Fungi; Basidiomycota; Agaricomycetes; Russulales; Russulaceae.